UUGAUCCUGGGUCAGGACGAACGCUGGCGGCGUGCUUAACACAUGCAAGUCGAACGAUGAAGCCUUUCGGGGUGGAUUAGUGGCGAACGGGUGAGUAACACGUGGGUAACCUGCCCUUGGCUUUGGGAUAAGCCCUGGAAACGGGGUCUAAUACCGGAUAUGACUGACUCUCGCAUGGGGGUUGGUGGAAAGUUCCGGCGGCUAGGGAUGGGCCCGCGGCCUAUCAGCUUGUUGGUGGGGUGAUGGCCUACCAAGGCGACGACGGGUAGCCGGCCUGAGAGGGCGACCGGCCACACUGGGACUGAGACACGGCCCAGACUCCUACGGGAGGCAGCAGUGGGGAAUAUUGCACAAUGGGCGAAAGCCUGAUGCAGCGACGCCGCGUGAGGGAUGACGGCCUUCGGGUUGUAAACCUCUUUCGCCCAGGACGAAGGGUAACUGACGGUACUGGGAGAAGAAGCACCGGCUGACUACGUGCCAGCAGCCGCGGUAAUACGUAGGGUGCGAGCGUUGUCCGGAAUUAUUGGGCGUAAAGAGCUCGUAGGCGGUUUGUCGCGUCGACUGUGAAAACCUGGGGCUCAACUCUGGGCUUGCAGUCGAUACGGGCAGACUUGAGUUCGGUAGGGGAGACUGGAGUUCCUGGUGUAGCGGUGAAAUGCGCAGAUAUCAGGAGGAACACCGGUGGCGAA
Molecule: ribosomal RNA, 689 nt
Filed under: uncultured bacterium
Lineage: Bacteria
Description: bacterial SSU rRNA
Rfam family: Bacterial small subunit ribosomal RNA
Source: RNAcentral